ACUAGUGUGGCCUAGUGGAUAGGGUGAUUGACUGGAUAGGGUGAUCGCUGGUUCGAUCCCCAGCUCCACUAGGA
Molecule: non-coding RNA, 74 nt
Organism: Danionella cerebrum
Lineage: Eukaryota; Metazoa; Chordata; Actinopteri; Cypriniformes; Danionidae
Source: the annotation of a GenBank genome assembly